CCCAUCUAGAUCGCCACCUCCCCGCCACCGGCCCGCAUCCUCCAUCGCGCCGUCCUCCCCGCUCUGCGGCCUGCCUCCUCUCUGCCGCGCCCUCCUCCCCACGCCGUCUGAGUCCUCCGCGUGCGGUUCGCUGAUGCCGGGGCCCAGGCUGCCGUGCUCCACGCUCGCGUCGGUCGGCUCAAGUGUGUGCUACCGGCGGCAAUGGGCUGCUGGACAUGCUCCUCGCCGCCACGGGCAACGGGCGGUAGGACGAGGAGAGGGAGGUGGAGGUGGCGGAGGAGGCGACGGAGAUGACAGGGACAGAUCAGACUACACGCUGGAGGACGAGGGCAUCGCAUCACCUACUGUCGCGUCUCGGUUACAAGGUCGUCGCUGCCGUCGCCCAGCACCGACCGCCUUGCCCCGAUUAGCUCUUGCUAACGCGGACGCCCGGAUGUGCUCCAGCGCCACCGCCUACGGGUGACUCUCCAACGACGGUUCCUCCCUUCCUCAUGACCUCAUGGAGCUAUCUCUUAUUAGAUCUAAUUGUAUCCCUAUUUGUGGUGAUUGGGUUGGGGUAGAUGAGUCAACAACGAAGCUCGGGGACGUGAUAUGGCCCUCGGUGUAGGUGGCCGUGGUGGACCUGAAGCUGGCUGAGAUAAGCGAUGGGGUCAGUGUUAUGCUCCUCCUGUUCUCAUUAAGCAAAAAUAAUGCAGACUGUGGCUGCAUGACUGGUGUAUAUAUCCACUUGGACCACCAAAAUCAAACUGAUAGCAAGAACCAGAAAUAGUGCUGAUUUAUAGUUCGUAAACAGAUCCAUAUUAGUUCAGGGAUCCACAGAACAAAUUUGUACAUUCAGAAUGACCACCAAAAUCUAGCCGUACAAUUAACUAGAUUGGAGAAUUUAUUUGAUCAAUAUGUGCACAUGAAACAAGAAAUUAACCCGUGUGAACUAUCUAUGGAAUUAUGCAAUGCGCAGAAAAAUAUUCAAACAACAUGAUGUUUCAUUCCGAGGCUAUAGUUACAUCACUAAAACCAAACAAUUAUAUAUAAUUCCCCAUGGACAGAUUGCACCAAACACUCUGGUUACUUGCCUACAGCUAAUUAUUUUACUUAAUGCCAGGGAGGUAUCAAAUUAUGGAGCUUGGAGAUCUGUCUUGCCUGUUGUCUGAACUGAAACAGCAGCCUCACUGUCCUCUUGGUCUUGGAUUGCAGUGAGCUGGUUCUCGAAUGUCCCAUCGCGUACUGGCUGCAGCACCCGAGCUCCUCAUUAUCUGUUAAAGGAUCAAGAUCCAUCGCCACCGACAGUCGUCUACUUGGACGCAAGGCUUGCCCGAACGACUCUGAAUCGAAACCAAUCCUAGACUAAGAGCUAUAUGUAUCAUCCAUUUGCACAGAUCCAGCCAAAGCACUUAAUUCACAGUCCGCAAAAUAGGCAAUCUAUGUAACGCAAGGCAAAUCUAGCUUAGAAAUCUACACGGAACCUGCAUUGCGCUUGCCUAAAUCAACUUACCUAUCCACGGGGUAUUUACAUAAUCCGAUAUAAUUGUUAAUUAUCUCUCUUCCAUGACAAAAUCCAACUUACUAUUUUUUUCUCACAGAACGACUGUGUUCAGCCACUAUCAGACUUUGGUGGUGUACCCCGGCUGCCAAACCAUGCUUUGCCAACCUACUAGAGGAAAGGCGAGGCUCACCAAGGGAUGAUCCUUCCACCGGAAGUGUAAUUAAUUUGCAUGCCUCAUUAUGGAAAAAAAGAAGCCCUUCUGAAAAUUACUUAUCCUCGAUGAGGGGAGACCGACCAAAAGAGGCAAUCCUUGGGUGCUGAACUUGGAAUGGGAUAAUGAAACACUAUUUUUUGUUACAUUCUAAUUUCAGUUGGUCUUGAAAUUUAGUUUUUUUUUCCUUUUAGCAUGGUAAUUUGCUGGGACCUGGGAGUCCUGAUUUUAAUUAUUACAGGAUGGUAAUCCAUUUUAUGUUGGUUUUAUCUUCUCAGGAGCAAGCAAAUUAUAAGUUCGUACUUGUGGCACCCAGAUCCGCAUGGAGCAGGGGGCCUUCGCAUGUCAGCCCAGGAUAACACCUGACGCACGACAUGUCCGCGAUACAACAUUCUAGCGGAAGUCUAAUUAAAUGGCGGCGGAAGUCUUGGCAGCAUAUAACUCUGGUUGGGCUCCACAACUCACAGGACUGGCAAGAUUACGGCCUAGCACGACGGAACAAGUGAACGACCUACAAAACUGGCAUGACACGCCAAGUCAGUACAUUGAAUGUACUUGCAAGACAACCAAAUACAUAGCAUCCAAACAAGCAGAAGACAAAGCAGGAACCAAGAGAAUGCAACAAUCUAGCUCAUUUCAGAAACUAAGCAUCACAUAAUAUCAACC
This is a long non-coding RNA of Triticum aestivum (bread wheat), 2360 nucleotides long. RefSeq lists it as uncharacterized. Lineage: Eukaryota; Viridiplantae; Streptophyta; Magnoliopsida; Poales; Poaceae. The record is from RefSeq and is a predicted model, not a curated record. The transcript has 2 exons.